This is a non-coding RNA of Rattus norvegicus (Norway rat), 1929 nucleotides long. Lineage: Eukaryota; Metazoa; Chordata; Mammalia; Rodentia; Muridae. The record is from RefSeq and is a predicted model, not a curated record.
UUCUUUUUUUUUUUUUUUUUUUUUCGGAGCUGGGGACCGAACUCAGGGCCUUGCGCAUGCUAGGCAAGUGCUCUACCACUGAGCUAAAUCCCCAACCCCGGGUCUUGGAUUUUUAUGAUUAUUUAUAAUAACCAAAUUGCGAUUAUUCACAAUCUCUUGAAUACAUGACUUCUCUGACCUGAUAAUUUAUUUAUCCAUAUUGUAUGGGCAAUGCUGGUUUGCCUGCUUGUAUGCCUGUGUGAGGGUGUCAGCUCUUGGGGUCACUGACAGUUGAAAGCUGCCAUGUGAGUUCUGAGACUUGAACCUGGGUCCUCCGAAAGAGUGGUCAUUGCCCUGAACCACUGACCCAUCUCUCCAGCCCCAACUUUUCUCAUCUGCAUUUUAAUUCUGUCUUUAAUUCUUGCCCUCUGGCACGUUCCUCUUCUACCAUUUAGAAAGCUGGCGCUCAGAGAAACUAGCUAAACCUACCCAAAGCCACAGGGCCAGCAUGGCAGAAGCGGAACUGAAGUCCUCGUGAAAUUGGAUCGUUUAAAGACACAGGAGCAUGGGUAGGUACACGGGGCAGGAAGCAGAGUGCCCUGGUUGGAGGGUGGGGUGGAGUCACAACUAAACUAAUUUUAUGAGGGGGUUACCACAUGAGCAAACGGGCCCUGGUGUGGAAAUAACCUCCAGAUUCCCCAGUGUCUCCCACAGCUUCUUUCCUGAACCAGCACAGCUCAACCUACACAUAUUUUGAAUUAUAAUUUCUUCCUCUGUGUGUAUGCACACUCGCGUGCACGUGCGUGAGCAUUGCCAGGUAGUUCUCAACAACCUUCAGAAGUGGUUCUCUCCUUCAGCCUGUGGGUUCCAGGGAUCCAACUCGAGUCCUCAGACUGGGCCAAGAUAAGGGCGGAAUGUCUACCUAACGUAUUCUCAACAAAGAAGCCCGAGAGCAGUUCUUCUGAAUGCCACUUUCAAAUGCUCACUGGGAAGCAUGUGGAACCACCCCGCCAAGCCUCGGGGCCUUUCCUCGUGGGUCCGGGGAUUUAGCGUGACGAGCCCGGGAAGCCCUGCUCGCAGGGGUGCAAGCUCGCCCCGAGCGCGGGCACGUGCAGAUGCUGCGGCUGCCUCGCUCCCUCGCGGCCUCCCACAGCCCCUCGCGGCCCUGCAAACGGGGUCGGGCCUCCCGGAGCGGCUUUCCUCAGAGGAUCAGCCCUGAGGAUCACGACUCUCUAGGUUCCCCGUGUCGCUGGCUCCCCACCGCGGCUCCCUGUCCCUUCCAUCCCUCCCCGCCACGCGCACGGGAGGAAGGCGGGACCGAGUGAGUCGCCGUCACGUGGGCGCUGGACGAGCAGAGGCGCUCUGCGCAGAAGCGCUCUGCGCAGGGGCUGUCCGCGCCUCGCCGGGCCUUGGCGCCCGCAGCCUCAGUGGAAAUUUUUCAGGAGACCUACUGAGGCUGCGCGGCACUGGCCACGCCCCUUCCCGCCCGUUUGCCUCUGAGCGGGUUCCUCCCUCCCCUGGGAAGCAGCCCCGCCCCCGCCCGCGCGCUUCUGCGCAAGCCCCGCCCUCCCCGGGGAAACCGCCGCGUAAGCCCCGCCCUCCCUGGGGAAACCAAGGCCGAUUUCCCCUGGGCCCUGACUUCCCCAGCAACUCGCGCUGGCCCGGACGCCUGCGGGGAGACCUAAUGUGUGGCCGCCUGGCAUCCUGAGAGGCGAGCAGGGCGCACUGGCGCCUUCGCCUUCGCCUGCGGGUCGCCGCGGCCUCAGCCUCGACACCUCAGCUCCACACGGAUCCCACACCUUCUGGAUAGAGCUGGACGGAGGGAGGAGUGGUUGGGGUGGAUGACUGAGGCUCCCUGAGGGAACCGACGGUCGCCUAGACAAAGCCCGAUCUGGAUUACCUCCCCCUCGCCAGGGAAAUAAAUAAUAUUUCUUUUUCCACGUCCAGAAA